RNAcentral lists this ribosomal RNA (484 nucleotides) under uncultured bacterium. Its description in RNAcentral is "partial 16S ribosomal RNA". It matches the Rfam family "Bacterial small subunit ribosomal RNA", at positions 30 to 507 of the family's 1533-position model. The record is from RNAcentral.
AUUGAACGCUGGCGGCAGGCCUAACACAUGCAAGUCGAGCGGAUGAAGGGAGCUUGCUCCUGGAUUCAGCGGCGGACGGGUGAGUAAUGCCUAGGAAUCUGCCUGGUAGUGGGGGAUAACGUCCGGAAACGGGCGCUAAUACCGCAUACGUCCUGAGGGAGAAAGUGGGGGAUCUUCGGACCUCACGCUAUCAGAUGAGCCUAGGUCGGACUAGCUAGUUGGUGGGGUAAAGGCCUACCAAGGCGACGAUCCGUAACUGGUCUGAGAGGAUGAUCAGUCACACUGGAACUGAGACACGGUCCAGACUCCUACGGGAGGCAGCAGUGGGGAAUAUUAGACAAUGGGCGAAAGCCUGAUCCAGCCAUGCCGCGUGUGUGAAGAAGGUCUUCGGAUUGUAAAGCACUUUAAGUUGGGAGGAAGGGCAGUAAGUUAAUACCUUGCUGUUUUGACGUUACCAACAGAAUAAGCACCGGCUAACUUCGUG